CCUACGGGUGGCAGCAGUCGAGAAUCAUUCACAAUGGGGGAAACCCUGAUGCUGCGACGCCGCGUGGGGGAAUGAAGGUCUUCGGAUUGUAAACCCCUGUCAUGUGGGAGCAAAUUAAAAAGAUAGUACCACAAGAGGAAGAGACGGCUAACUCUGUGCCAGCAGCCGCGGUAAUACAGAGGUCUCAAGCGUUGUUCGGAAUCACUGGGCGUAAGGCGUGCGUAGGCUGUUUCGUAAGUCGUGUGUGAAAGGCGCGGGCUCAACCCGCGGACGGCACAUGAUACUGCGAGACUAGAGUAAUGGAGGGGGAACCGGAAUGCUCGGUGUAGCAGUGAAAUGCGUAGAUAUCGAGAGGAACACUCGUGGCGAAGGCGGGUUCCUGGACAUUAACUGACGCUGAGGCACGAAGGCCAGGGGAGCGAAAGGGAUUAGAUACCCCUGUAGUC
This 446-nucleotide ribosomal RNA is filed under the name uncultured bacterium. Its description in RNAcentral is "partial 16S ribosomal RNA". It matches the Rfam family "Bacterial small subunit ribosomal RNA", at positions 338 to 795 of the family's 1533-position model. The record is from RNAcentral.